RNAcentral lists this ribosomal RNA (748 nucleotides) under uncultured bacterium. RNAcentral's name for it is "bacterial SSU rRNA". It matches the Rfam family "Bacterial small subunit ribosomal RNA", at positions 8 to 767 of the family's 1533-position model. The record is from RNAcentral.
AGAGUUUGAUCAUGGCUCAGAAUCAACGCUGGCGGCGUGCCUCAGACAUGCAAGUCGGACGAUUAAACUUUCCUUCGGGAAAGAUAUAAAGUGGCGUACGGGUGAGUAACACGUAAGUAAUCUACCUUUGAGUGGGGAAUAACUUAAGGAAACUUAAGCUAAUACCGCAUAAUGCAGCGGCAUCAUAUGAUGACAGUUGUUAAAGAAUUUAUUCGCUUAAAGAGGAGCUUGCGGCAGAUUAGCUAGUUGGUAAGGUAAUGGCUUACCAAGGCAACGAUCUGUAGCCGACCUGAGAGGGUGGUCGGUCACACUGACACUGAAUAACGGGUCAGACUCCUACGGGAGGCAGCAGUCGGGAAUUUUGUGCAAUGGGGGAAACCCUGACACAGCAACGCCGCGUGAAGGAUGAAGUCUUUCGGGAUGUAAACUUCGGAAAUAUAGGAAGAAUAAAUGACGGUACUAUAUCUAAGGUCCGGCUAACUACGUGCCAGCAGCCGCGGUAAUACGUAGGGACCAAGCGUUGUUCGGAUUUACUGGGCGUAAAGGGUGCGUAGGCGGCGUGAUAAGUCACUUGUGAAAUCUCCGAGCUUAACUCGGAACUGCCAAGUGAUACUAUUGUGCUAGAGUACAGAAAGGGUAACUGGAAUUCUUGGUGUAGCGGUGAAAUGCGUAGAUAUCAAGAGGAACACCUUGAGGCGAAGGCGAGUUACUAGGCUGAUACUGACGCUGAAGUACGAAAGCUAGGGGA